Long non-coding RNA from Xenopus laevis (African clawed frog), 2448 nucleotides. RefSeq lists it as uncharacterized. The transcript is spliced from 3 exons. The record is from RefSeq and is a predicted model, not a curated record. Lineage: Eukaryota; Metazoa; Chordata; Amphibia; Anura; Pipidae.
UCAAGUUUUUGGAGAUCAUAAGUGUUGAAUAAAAACCCCAUGAUAGAGGUCAGCAUAAAUAACAUGAAGAUUAGAUUGCACGGAUAUUAACCCUUGUGUGCAGGAAGACAACAAGGGCUGGAGACUGAAAAAACAAGUAACAUAGGAGGCAAGAUGUCAGGUAAUAAAAUAAACCUCAGGUAGGACAAUCUGGGGUGAUGGGGUUAUCCAAACUGCAGCCCCUUCAGAUACUGGUAGACAACAACUCCCAGCAUCCCUCCUAUUGGAGAGGCUAAGAGUUGUAGUUGAGCAACAGCUGGAAGGCUACAGGCUGAAAUCACUGAAGUAUAUACUGAUAACAAUCCAGCAAUUGCACCAAGAGCCACAGCAAAUGCCCCCCUUCUGCUCUACUUCACUGGUCCCAAACAUUCAAUUUACAAUGACUAGAAGGCAGCAAUGGGAGACGCGCAGAGUGCGCCCAGGGGUGUGCGACUCAUACAUUUGUACAGAAGAGAAUUAGCGCUGAUAUUUGCGCUCACACUGACAGACACAGCAGUGAUACAUGGGCGGGGCAGUUUCAAACAAAUUGGGGUUAUGAUCAAGAGAACAUGAUGUUUUAUGGGGACACAGUGAAGCAAUGGUAAUCAAUGGUAAUACUACGAAUGCGCAAAAAUAAAUAUUCCGCACGGAGGGGAGAAAGCGAAUCUCUGGUUUUCAUUCAACAGAUGAAACGCAAAGAGACAGAGGAGACGGCGUGACACUGAUAUCACAAGCGAUCAAAACACAAUUUCCCAUUGUUUAUUUCUAUAAAACCCCAACAGAUCGCGGUUUCCCCUAUGGAAUUUCCUCUAUCGUGAAAAAAAGAAAAGCUGGACUAGUCUAGCAGAGAGUCGAGACUAUAACUAGUGGUGAUUGGAGUGCCACGAUGCCCGUCUCAGAGCAGCACGAGAGCCAAAUAGGACUGUCUCCUGCAGCGCUCGCUAUUUAUCCUAUGAUAUUGUUUCCCUGCAGCGCACACGCAUGAGUCUGCACCUUACAACAUAGCGCCGUGUCUCUUGCAACGCACAAAGCGCUCAAAGUUAAUCCUGAUGUGCAAUGAGUUGUUCAUUGGAAAGGCUCUCCUAUAAUGAUCACCAUGAUAAAUGUGCAGCCACGAGGACAACAGUCUGCGCCUUAGGUGAUGAGAUAGCGCCGGACUUGGACGCCGCGCAGAAUAGUGAUCUGUAUUAUGAGCAGAUGUGAACCUGCACGAACUCUAAUCCAAAACUGAUGGACUGUAUGUGUAUGGCAGCAGCCUCCCUGCACUGCACAAUGGAGCAUCUCUCAAAUCAGUAUUCGGCACCCAUAGCUCAAGUGUGCGCCUCACCGGCUCUCUAUCCGAACCUAAUAACAGUAGUAAUGACUGUGCAUACACUAUCAGCGCUAUCCUGCCAAUGGGAAGCUCAUUCCUUAUUUCUCAUGAACUUUUUAGCGCUUUGUGCGCGUUAUUUCACUGAAGUUGACUUGGGGUCAUUAAUGAAAGUGACAACACUGUAUGUGCACAACUAAACCAGCAAUGGGGUUGUUUUAUCAGAGCAAGAGGAAAGAAACAAACAUGUAGCCAGCGCAAGUGCGACUUUCCGAAGCCUGUGCAAUGUUAGCAAAUCAACACAACGGUGACGUCAGCCGGCGCUUGUUGGCACGUGAUGCUCUCUCCCCAUGCUGGAGCGGCCGGCCGCCAUACUUACUCCUGGCUAAGAAGGCACGGAAGACACAAACCUCCAUUAAAUUGCUGAAUUGCAUAUGGACGAUCCAAUGGUCCGGUUUUAAAUUUUGUAUAUUCGACGAGCAUUGCUCUCUUGGAGUGAGGCAUGGUGAGAUAAGUCUUGUGCCCACCUUUUCCCCAAAUGAGUUUUAUGUGAGGCCGGAUAAAUUAGAGACAGAGACUGAUAAAAAUCAGGUAAUAAUGCGCUAAUGUGUACAUAAAUGUCCCGUAUGCAUGGGGGUAUUUAAUGCAUGUUUGAGUCGCAGGUUUGAGAGCAUUUAAAUGCAUCAGUUAAAAGAUUCCCUUGUAUUCUGCUUGUUUGUAUCCAUGGUUGUUCAGAAUUGUGUUUAAUUGCAACUAAGAUUCACUAUGGUUUUUUUUUAGACGCAACAUGCUUUUGACGCGUGUUCAUAAUGCUUGAAUAGAGAGAUGACUAAGAUGCCUAAGAUGCCCGUGAACUCGAUAUAUGCAUGUCUACUCAUUCAGCUUGCAUUUUUUAACACACAAAAAAGCCUAUGCGUAGAGACCAAAAAGAGUCAAUAAACAAGAUUGAUAUAAAUGAAGGGGGGACUGAAAAAAUGCUAUUAGGUUUGCUAUUUGGUGGGGGAUAUCUAUUAUUUUAUUAAUUCUGGAUAAUGUACUUUUUAUUAUAUUCUUGUAAUGUCAACAACUGUAUUUUAAUUUUGUAUAUCCUAAUAAAUCCUGGGUGAGGCAGGUUUGCAUAA